This 5862-nucleotide long non-coding RNA is filed under the name Physcomitrium patens. RNAcentral describes it as "long non-coding RNA (PPAT_LNC003226)". Lineage: Eukaryota; Viridiplantae; Streptophyta; Bryopsida; Funariales; Funariaceae. The record is from RNAcentral.
CUCCUGAAUGUAUCGUCUCUAUUUUCAAUAUCUGAACACACAAGAAAACUAUAAUCUCCUCCUUCACCUUAUCGGUCUCUUUCUUACAGCAAUUCAAUCAUACCAAUAACUGCUAUUUCUACCAAUAUAUUCACCCUCAUAAUCUCCAACUGUAAUACUAUGCCCUCACAGCUUUCAGCAUACAAUUACCCUCAUUCCAAUCACUGGAAUUCUUCACACAGAACUGCCAUUCACAUUACGAUGUUUCACACAAACACACACUCAUUCUCUCUACUAAACUACAAUCAGAUUUCAACAUUCAAUCUUUCUUCUUCUCAAAUAAUACCAAUCACAUUUCCAUUCCAUAAUUCACUUUACAAUAUUCAGAAACUCUCAAUCUUCUUAUUCAAAGAAAAUAACAAACAAAAGAAAAAAGAUAGCAUCAAGCUUACCCUGGCUCACAACUAUCACAUCGAUGGCACCUUAAUUAACUUCUACAACUCCUAUAUACUUUCCCCUGAUUCUCCAAAUUCUAAUCGUAAUUCUGUAAUUAAUCACUUUUAAGAACUAAAUCACUCAUCCAUCCUCCUGAAUUUCCUAUUAUAUGGACUAUUAAUAUAUUUUACCAAUAUCUUUCAAAAACAAAUUAAUAUCUAUUCUACAUAGCCCCACACCUAUCUGUGCAACGUCCUUGCAAACACUCAAUUGAUACCUAUCUAAAAAUUACUUAACAAAUCUUGACAAAAAUUGUGAUCCCUCUGGCCUAUCUAAUUAAUCAAUUGUCGGAGCAUCUGUUAUUGGUUCUACGGAUUCCGAUUCCAACUGCAAAUCUUUGUCUUCCUCCAAUCCUUCCAUCGCCUCCUGCCUCAAUUGAGCUAAAAGGUCUUUAUUGUACUCGCCUAGUUCAUGGACUUGAGCUUCAAAUUUCAAGAUCUAGACAUCCCAAAGUUCCAAUUGUUGCUGCUGACUCAUCCAUUCUGGAAUAUCUUCAAUCGAUACUUGUGAUCGACUCCUCACUGUUAACUUUUAUUUGGAACUACUACUCUUGAAAAUACAAGAAAUAUAAGAAAAUGGCACUCUAGCCAAUCCAAAACAACACCACAGAAUGACUUUAACUAAUGGCCCACUCCUAUUCUUUUACUAUCUGGUGAUAAUGACAACAUGUUAUCCAUAUUGUUCGUGAAAGGUAAUGAGAAGUAAUCUUUCUUGGUGGCCGCAUUAAGUUUCGAGAAAUCCUGACAAAUUCAGAUUUUCCCAUUCUUUUUUGGCACCAUCACGAUUGAAGAAACCCACUCACUAUUUGGUACUGGGUAAAUAAAACCAACCGCAAGAAGCUUGUCCAAUUCCUCCUUUACCAUGAGGGAAUAUUUAAGAUUAAGGCGAUAUUGCCUCUGCCGUAUCGGUUUAGCGUUCUCCUCUAAAAUAAUAUGAUGCUCACAGACUUUAGUGAGAAUACCUUUUAAAUUAUCAUAAGUCCAAGUAAAAGCGGAUUUAUAAUGCAAGAAAAAUUCGGUCCAGCAGGUCAAUUCUUGUUCCUUAAUACCUUUGUAGACCUUAAUUGUUCGAGGUUCUGCUGUGGUCGCCAAGUUAAUAGUUUGACAUAAAGGUGCAACAAUGAUGUUCUCUUUCAAUCCCCGUGCUGGUUUAAAGUUAGUCGGUAAGUUCAACAUGUACAAAGUAUUGAAUCCUGUGUCUAGGGUACUAACAUGGUGCACAUCAUACUUGGUCGUCCAAUCAGUACUAACAUAAUCCAAGUUUUCUAAGUCCGUCGGGUAUAUCAAGUACUCCUCCGGACCUCUACAUUGAUACACCACUCCAAGAUAUAGAACUACCUUCACGAGCGCCUCCGUAAUUGGUGCUACUCCGUUGUCAUCGGAGCUAAGCUCAUCGUCCGACGUUAAUUCAGAUGCUGGCAAUUGAGACUCCCCGUGAUAGUGUACUGGGUACAUUUGUAACACCAUUUUGUCUCUGUCCUUGCCAAUUGUCAAAGUACCCCGACUCCAAUCGUUCUUAGCCUUUGCUUGAUAAAGCUAGGGUCGUUUCAAUAAAAUUGGAUACAAUAAAGUCGAAUGUUGUAAUCGAAAGAUGAUAUAGUCGAUUUCAUAUGCAAUACUGGCAAUUAUAGUUUGAACACUCCGUAAGAUACUUAUUGGUUUAACCCGGCUAUGAUCUACUAUCUGUAAUAUCAAUGUCGUGGGUACUAAGUAUUCCAAAUCUAAAGCAUCCAUUGUAUCACCGUUCAUUAAAUUGACGCUAGAACCACCAUCCACCUGAACACCCAAGAUCAUAACACUGUCAAUUGAAACAUCGAUGGUUGGUGCACCUGGGUCAAAGUUCAAACUAACUUCACAAACUUCUUUAUUACGGUGCCUAUGCCGUGUUAACAAUGAAUUCAAUGUAGAAUGGUACUCUAGUGUGACUAUUAAAAGUUACUUCAUAGAAAUAGAAGGCCAAAUAGCAUCCAGAUCCUUCAAAAUAUCAUAGGAUUCCAUAUUUAGGAUUAUUUCCAAUAUCUUCUUUUUUUUCAUUAGUUUGAGUUUAACUCCGUGAGAUAAGAUAUUCUUCUGCCCUGGACUCGAAAUUGGAACAGCAGUCGGGGCUUCCUUGAAAUUCCCACCCUAGAGAGGAUCUUUCAAUGGAUAGGAUGUUUCUCGAAACUACGUAGAGAUUGGAACUGCUUGAAACAGAACCGAAGCCUCCGUAAUUGGGACCUCAUUGGGUUGUGCCACCGAGUCAAGUCUCAUACUAUGUACGAAGCCCGUAAGAGGACCUGGAUUGGAUGGUCUCCUAAUUAGGUCAAAUUGGUCUUUCACAUUGGGAUUAUCUAAAUGUUGAAUUGGUCUUUUUUUCUUUUACCGACUUUGGGUAAGAAUGGCUUGGACACAUUCCACCCAAUUUAUUGGUGAAUCUUGAGGACCUCGAUUUAUUUCCUCAAUUUUUCCUUGGCUUUAGAUCUGCUGAUCCCGAUUAUUGAAAUUGAACGAAGCAUUACAUUAUUGAUACGUAUACCCUAACUGCGUGCAAUUCCCACAAACUGGUGCAUAAUCGUCAUUGGCUCUGGGAUUGGGACAUUCAUUGAUAUAAUGAUCAAUCUGUCUGCAACACAAUGAACAAAGUGGUCUUCUUGUACCUCCAUCAGGCAUAUUGGGUGCCUCCACUGAUAUAUACCUAUUAGGCUUGUUCUAUGUAGGGUUAGAAAAUGAUCUUGGUUGUCCCUUUGGUACUGAGGAAACUUGGUUUGAUGACAUUGGUGGAACAUAUUGCUGAUACCUCUGCUGCUCCUUACCAUACUUCUAGGGGUUCGAUACAGAUCCCUGAAUAAAAUUGAAACUUUGAAAGUUAUUGAAUGCUUGAUUUUUUGAUUAAAUUGAUUUCCAUUCCAUCCAAAUGUAUUUCCCGUUUAUACUUUAUUGACGUUCCACUGGGUUGGUGGGAUCAUGGUUUGAUUACUAAAUUGUUGUUGUUGUCUUUGCCAAUUCCAACAAUUUGCUGUUAGGUGCUUUCCUCCACAAAAUGCACAUUGAUCCAUUAUUUGUGAGGGUGAAGGACAUUCUUUAUAGAAUGACCGUUGCCCUUACAAUUACUGCACCAUACAUUGGUCCUAGUAUUAGUAGGCUUUUGCCUCUUCUCCUUAUCUUUGGCCAUAUUGAUAGCCAUUUCUUCCAUUUUCUUCGUCAAAUUCAAUAACAAGGUUUCAUUGGAAUCAUUUAGAGCUGGCAUUAUUAGUAUCUCUGCCGUAGUUAACGCUUGUUGAUAUGGAAAAUAUGGAGCAUACGCUGUUGUCACAUUCAAUGAUAUAGCUUGCAAUGGGGUGACAUUAACUGGCCUCUGAAUAUUGGUAUUAGAAUUGGUCCCUGUUUCUAACAUCCGUGGAUAACUAUCCACUGAUUCGUUCCAAGUCAGAUUUUGAUAUCUACCUUGAACUGGAAUCAUCGUGGCUCCCGCAAUUAAAAACUGAUCAUAAUGGCAUUCCUUCCAAACCUUGGCUCUAUUAAGGGACGUAGCCAACGUAAUGGUUUGAGCUUCUUUUACAAACAUUUUUAGCUCUAGUGGGUGCAAACCAUUGAUUAAUAUGGAUAAAACAAAUGCCUCCGAUAUUUGGUGAUUCAGCCACUUAUUGAGUAUAUCAGUCACUCGGCCAUAGUACGAUUCCACUGCCUCCCCUAGGAUCAUUUUGCUGUUCAUUAACCUCUCUCGAAGGCGGUCUUCAAAACCAAUUGGUCAAAAAUGAGAUAAAAAUGCAUUCUUUAAUGCUUCCCAAUUCGGAAAUUGACCCACUGAUUGGCGAUUGUACCAUUCAAAUAUCGUGUCUUUUAAGGUCGCUGGCAGCCAUCGCAACCAAAUAUCUUCAAUUCUGCCAUUAUUAGCUACACAUGCUGUAAGAAACUGAGACAAAUAUUGAUCAGGAUCCGCACCCAAAAAUCCCCAAAAAGUAGGUAGUGGCGCGAUACUAGUCGUACGAUCGCCUACUGUACCCAUUUGUACUGCAAUCAGAAUGGCUGGUCUUCCUGACGCCAUUGAAUUUCUUGUUUUAUUAAACUCCAUUUUCAAAUAAUCUCUACUUUUCCUUAUUCUAAUUUUUGAGCUCUUAGUGCUCUUCAAUUUAUUGUUAUUUUCCGCAAUUAGGUUUAUUGAUUGAAUUAUAGGUGAAAACAUCGAAUUUUGAAAUACAAUAUAAUUAUCUUUAUUGGCGAUUAAUUUGUGCCAAUGUGAAGAGCCACUAUUGCUGGUUUCAGCGGUACCCCCUAUUGGAAAAAUACCCAAUGGAGUACCAAAUUCUUCUAUGCUUCCUUCUCUUUAGUUAACGACCUCAAGAUUUCCACUUGAAUUUUAACAAAAUUUCCUGUGAGUGUUCUUGGCAGUUUUUCUAACAAUACAUACGACUGCAAAAUUAAUAGUAUGUCCGGUUCUUGAUAUGUUUGGAUGCACCGACAAGCUUGCAACCAUGGUUUAAUCCAAUUUUGUUGAUGCUUCUUUUUAAGAUUACGUUCUUGCUCUUCUCUAAGAAAGUUCCUUCCUUGCGCUCUUCCCUGUCUUUCUCUCAACUGAUUUAUUUUCCUCAAUGUAAUGCUCUCGUUCUUAUUAACCAUAAUCUUGCUUCAAACACUACUAAAAUCAUCUUCCAUUGCCAAUUUUCUCACACGUUUGGUAAUUAAUUCCUAACACUCAAAGCUAUUAUCACUCUUUGACAAUGGCACCAAAAUGUGAUUACUCGUUUUACUUAUUCCAAAUUAAUCUAAUGGGAAUAAAUCCAUAUAAGGAGAUUCGAAUAUUGAGAAUGACUAGUGGUUAAGUGUUCAUGUUAGGGUCACACAAUCAAUUACCUCUUGAAUGUAUCGUCUCUAUUUCCAAUAUCUGAACACACAAGAAAACUAUAAUCUCCUCCUUCACCUUAUCAGUCUCUUUCUUAUAGCAAUUCAAUCAUAUCAAUAACUGCUAUUUCUACCAAUAUAUUCACCCUCAUAAUCUCCAACUGUAAUACUAUGCCCUCACAACUUUCAGCAUACAAUUACCCUCAUUCCAAUCACUGGAAUUCUUCACACAGAACUGCCAUUCACAUUACGAUGUUUCAUAUAAACACAGACCCAUCUUCUCUGCUGAACUACAAUCAGAUUUCAGCAUUCAAUCUUUCUUCUUUUCAAAUAAUACCAAUCACAUUUCCAUUCCAUAAUUCACUUUAUAAUAUUCAGAAACUCUCAAUCCUCUUAUUCUAAAAAAAUAACAAACAAAAGAAAAGAGAUAGCAUCAAGCUUACCCCAGCUUACAACUAUCACAUCGAUGGCACCUUAAUUAACUUCUACAACUCCUAUAUACUUUCCCCUGAUUCUUUAGAUUCUAAUCGUAAUUUUGUAAUUAAUCACUUUUAAGAACUAAAUCACACAC